Molecule: ribosomal RNA, 503 nt
Filed under: uncultured bacterium
Lineage: Bacteria
Description: partial 16S ribosomal RNA
Rfam family: Bacterial small subunit ribosomal RNA
Source: RNAcentral
AUUGAACGCUGGCGGCAGGCUUAACACAUGCAAGUCGAGCGGGGUGAUGGUGCUUGCACUAUCACUUAGCGGCGGACGGGUGAGUAAUGCUUAGGAAUCUGCCUAUUAGUGGGGGACAACAUCUCGAAAGGGAUGCUAAUACCGCAUACGUCCUACGGGAGAAAGCAGGGGAUCACUUGUGACCUUGCGCUAAUAGAUGAGCCUAAGUCGGAUUAGCUAGUUGGUGGGGUAAAGGCCUACCAAGGCGACGAUCUGUAGCGGGUCUGAGAGGAUGAUCCGCCACACUGGGACUGAGACACGGCCCAGACUCCUACGGGGGGCAGCAGUGGGGAAUAUUGGACAAUGGGGGGAACCCUGAUCCAGCCAUGCCGCGUGCGUGAAGAAGGCCUUAUGGUUGUAAAGCACUUUAAGCGAGGAGGAGGCUCUUUUGGUUAAUACCCAAGAUGAGUGGACGUUACUCGCAGAAUAAGCACCGGCUAACUCUGUGCCAGCAGCCGCAGUAA